CUUCUACCUGCAUCUCAUUCUCUCUGAAUCGCUUGUGUGAAUGGCUUAACAAAGGAUUCCAAAAUCAAGGUUAUUCACUUCUAGCAAAAGAAAACCCUAAACGCCAUGGGCGAACUCUGUCGAAUCUUUGUCUACCAUAUCACUUAAAAAAUAAACGGUGGUAGGUACUGUAAGGUACUGUAAGGUACGCCCGAAGUUUGUGACCAGUUGCAAUUGAAUUUUAUUGUUUCCUUUCUCUCAAAUUGCAGGAGAUUAUUUGGUUUUCUACGAUAGCAAAGUUUGUGACUUUGAGUAAAGAUUUUUCACACAUGCUCCGGUGUGCCCUGUUUCAAUUAGGAUGGUUGCUAUCGGUUGACAAGUGGACGAUUCAUUGGGUGAUCCUGUAAAUGAAGAAUGAUUGUCCAUAUCUUUAGAACUCUGUGGAUUGAAGAUAGUUACUGGAAUCGAGGUUGUUGAGGCACAAGAAGACCUUAUAAAGGUUAAUAUUUCCCGUAAAUGGGCCACUGAUGAAGAGAAACAACCUACCACAUGGGGAAUGUACAUACAUGAUGAUUUGGUUUUGGAUCAAGAGAAACUUGUUGAUCCACUUAAGAAGGUCUGGCUAUUUUAUUAAGACUCAUCAUUCUUGAAACCGCAACAAAUGGUGUAACAAAGAAGUAUGCCACCCCAAAUAUUUUCUUUUUUACCACUUUACAACACUUUCAUAUUUACAAUAUGUCAAACCAAGUUGAGAGCGAGUGAUAAUCGGACUGAGCUCACGUUACUUUUAUCAAAUUGUAAAUGUAACAUUAUUUGUCUUUUUGUUGAUAUUUUUGUACACGGAUUAUAAAGAAAACUUCAUAC
RNAcentral lists this long non-coding RNA (843 nucleotides) under Helianthus annuus (common sunflower). Lineage: Eukaryota; Viridiplantae; Streptophyta; Magnoliopsida; Asterales; Asteraceae. The record is from RNAcentral.